RNAcentral lists this unclassified non-coding RNA (810 nucleotides) under Bradyrhizobium sp. RNAcentral describes it as "partial contains 16S-23S ribosomal RNA intergenic spacer and large subunit ribosomal RNA". The stretch from base 161 to 234 matches the Rfam family "tRNA". The record is from RNAcentral. Lineage: Bacteria; Pseudomonadati; Pseudomonadota; Alphaproteobacteria; Hyphomicrobiales; Nitrobacteraceae.
CUAUCGAACCGUUUUAGAAACAUCAGUGGCCAACAGAUCGCCAGAUCGUUGAGCUGCAUUGGCGGGAUUUCGCCGUCUUCGUUUCUCUUUCUUCGCGGACGAACACGCGCUGGGGCUGCAAGUUUGCAGAAUCCCUGGUCCUUAACAGGAUAUGCGUUAGGGGCUUGUAGCUCAGUUGGUUAGAGCGCGCGCUUGAUAAGCGUGAGGUCGGAAGUUCAAGUCUUCCCAGGCCCACCACUUUCAUCGAGUGAGCAUUCGUCUUCUGGUUACGGGGCCAUAGCUCAGCUGGGAGAGCGCGUGCUUUGCAAGCAUGAGGUCGUCGGUUCGAUCCCGUCUGGCUCCACCAGAUGGUUUGAUCACCGAGAUCUUGUACCGUCGUCCGCGAAACAUCACUUCGCACUUACUAGUCUGGAUAGACAGUAAGCUGCGUGAUUUCUGACAUCGUAAAGAGGAGAUCGAUCCGAGUUGGAUCGUGCGGCAAGCAAUUGCCACGCGAGACUUCAUUAUCUCCGGAUCAUUUUCGGCGCUCGACGCUGACCGCAAGGUUGGCUGCGAGUUGUAAAAUGAUCCUUUUAGCGAAGCUUGACCGCCUCGCUAUCGGAACGAUCUUACGAAGCAAGCUGGUCUUUCUAGUCAAUGUCCGGCUGUACGUAGCAUUCAUCGAGGGUGCGCGCCGCAAGGCAAUCGUACAGACAACAUUCUGCCGAGUGUGUGGACAUUGAUAAUGAGAGCAAUCAAGUGCCUUAAGGGUGUUCGGUGGAUGCCUUGGCGCUGAGAGGCGAUGAAGGACGUGCUACGCUGCGAUAAGCC